This 360-nucleotide ribosomal RNA is filed under the name Triticum aestivum (bread wheat). RNAcentral's name for it is "partial small subunit ribosomal RNA". Lineage: Eukaryota; Viridiplantae; Streptophyta; Magnoliopsida; Poales; Poaceae. The record is from RNAcentral.
AUGGAUUUACCUGGACCAAUAGAUGAGAUUCUUAUGCUAUUUGGGGGAUUUGUUCUUCUACUAGGGGGUUUACGAGUAGUAUUACUUACCGACCCCAGUUGUUCUGCCUUUUCCUUGGCACUAGUUCUUGUUUAUAUAUCUAUAUUCCAUUUUUUAUUUAAUUCCUACUUUGUAGCCGGCGCACAACUUCUUAUUUAUGUGGGAGCCAUAAAUGUCGUAAUCAUAUUCGUUGUAAUGUUCAAUCGCUCAGGAUGGUCUAAAGAUAAGAAUCGUUGGAGUAUUAGAGAUGGGUUCACUUCACUCGUUUGUAUAACUAUUGUUCUUUCACUAAUGACUAUUAUCCCAGAUACAUCAUGGUAG